RNAcentral lists this ribosomal RNA (701 nucleotides) under uncultured bacterium. RNAcentral describes it as "bacterial SSU rRNA". It matches the Rfam family "Bacterial small subunit ribosomal RNA", at positions 59 to 760 of the family's 1533-position model. The record is from RNAcentral.
CAGUCGAACGAAGCGCUUAAGAAUGAUUCUUCGGAUGAAUUCUUUUGUGACUUAGUGUCGGACGGGUGAGUAACGCGUGGGUAACCUGCCUCACACAGGGGGAUAACAGUUGGAAACGACCGCUAAUACCGCAUAACCCGCUAGGGCCGCAUGGCCCGGACGGAAAAGAUUUAUCGGUGUGAGAUGGACCCGCGUUGGAUUAGCUAGUUGGCAGGGUAACGGCCUACCAAGGCGACGAUCCACAGCCGGCCUGAGAGGGUGAACGGCCACAUUGGGACUGAGACACGGCCCAAACUCCUACGGGAGGCAGCAGUGGGGAAUAUUGCACAAUGGGGGAAACCCUGAUGCAGCGACGCCGCGUGAGUGAAGAAGUAUUUCGGUAUGUAAAGCUCUAUCAGCAGGGAAGAAAAUGACGGUACCUGACUAAGAAGCCCCGGCUAACUACGUGCCAGCAGCCGCGGUAAUACGUAGGGGGCAAGCGUUAUCCGGAUUUACUGGGUGUAAAGGGAGCGUAGACGGUUGAGCAAGUCAGAAGUGAAAGGCUGGGGCUCAACCCCGGGACUGCUUUUGAAACUGUUUAACUAGAGUGCUGGAGAGGUAAGCGGAAUUCCUAGUGUAGCGGUGAAAUGCGUAGAUAUUAGGAGGAACACCAGUGGCGAAGGCGGCUUACUGGACAGUAACUGACGUUGAGGCUCGAAAGC